This 429-nucleotide ribosomal RNA is filed under the name Gemmatimonadota bacterium. RNAcentral describes it as "Gemmatimonadetes bacterium partial 16S ribosomal RNA". It matches the Rfam family "Bacterial small subunit ribosomal RNA", at positions 355 to 776 of the family's 1533-position model. The record is from RNAcentral. Lineage: Bacteria; Pseudomonadati; Gemmatimonadota.
UAGGGAAUCUUCGGCAAUGGACGAAAGUCUGACCGAGCAACGCCGCGUGAGUGAAGAAGGUUUUCGGAUCGUAAAACUCUGUUGUUAGAGAAGAACAAGGACGUUAGUAACUGAACGUCCCCUGACGGUAUCUAACCAGAAAGCCACGGCUAACUACGUGCCAGCAGCCGCGGUAAUACGUAGGUGGCAAGCGUUGUCCGGAUUUAUUGGGCGUAAUGCGAGCGCAGGCGGUUUCUUAAGUCUGAUGUGAAAGCCCCCGGCUCAACCGGGGAGGGUCAUUGGAAUCAGGGAGACUUGAGUGCAGAAGAGGAGAGUGGAAUUCCAUGUGUAGCGGUGAAAUGCGUAGAUAUAUGGAGGAACACCAGUGGCGAAGGCGGCUCUCUGGUCUGUAACUGACGCUGAGGCUCGAAAGCGUGGGGAGCAAACAGG